CCUACGGGUGGCAGCAGUGGGGAAUAUUGGACAAUGGGGGGAACCCUGAUCCAGCCAUGCCGCGUGUGUGAAGAAGGCCCUCGGGUUGUAAAGCACUUUCAGUGAGGAAGAACGCCUGGUGGUUAAUACCCAUCAGGAAAGACAUCACUCACAGAAGAAGCACCGGCUAACUCCGUGCCAGCAGCCGCGGUAAUACGGAGGGUGCGAGCGUUAAUCGGAAUUACUGGGCGUAAAGCGCGCGUAGGUGGCUUGAUAAGCCGGUUGUGAAAGCCCCGGGCUCAACCUGGGAACGGCAUCCGGAACUGUCAAGCUAGAGUGCAGGAGAGGAAGGUAGAAUUCCCGGUGUAGCGGUGAAAUGCGUAGAGAUCGGGAGGAAUACCAGUGGCGAAGGCGGCCUUCUGGACUGACACUGACACUGAGGUGCGAAAGCGUGGGUAGCAAACAGGCUUAGAUACCCCGGUAGUC
Molecule: ribosomal RNA, 465 nt
Filed under: Vreelandella stevensii
Lineage: Bacteria; Pseudomonadati; Pseudomonadota; Gammaproteobacteria; Oceanospirillales; Halomonadaceae
Description: partial 16S ribosomal RNA
Rfam family: Bacterial small subunit ribosomal RNA
Source: RNAcentral